AUCUACAGGUAUACCACACUGAAUGCACCCCAUCUUGUCUGAUCUUGGAAGCUAAGCUUGGUUGGGCAUGAUUAGAACUUGGAUGGGAGAUUUUAAAUUCUCUGAGAUC
Molecule: ribosomal RNA, 109 nt
Filed under: Castor canadensis (American beaver)
Lineage: Eukaryota; Metazoa; Chordata; Mammalia; Rodentia; Castoridae
Source: RNAcentral